UUUGCCCACCAUCCUCUAUCAUCAACUUCUCUCAAAGUUCGAAAUUGCUGGUUUAGAUGAUUGGUAUUUGACCUGGAAAUACAAAAACAUGAGGCACAAUUGGGAACUGAUGAUGUUCUUUUUAUGCAUCCAAAAAGAUAACUAGUUUUCAUUAGUGUAAUUGAUUGCUCAUUCAUUUGACUUAAACCAUGAAUGAUCAACCAAAGAGCAAAAGAAUAGAAAUGAGAUGCAACUACUGCAUUUACAGUGCUAAUUCCUGUGGUACACACAAACCUUGACACUGCUAAUUCACUCACUGAUCAUAUAUUUAGCAACAUCUACACACCACUAAUGCUAGCACACUCACUGAUCAUAUAUUUAGCAACAUCUACACACCACUGUCAAAUGGGCAAUAACUAUACAACCCCACCAAAUUGAGAUUUCUACAGCAUGGAGAUCAUCAGUGUAGUUUCAGUUAAAAAAACUAGAAUCUAUUCUCUCGAUGCUCAAGCAAACGAUAGCUCGAUUGUCCCUGUUGAUAUUUCGAUACAAUAGAUAGGUUUGGAAGUUAGAGUAAGUCUGUACAGAGGAGGCCACCAUCAAUGCCAAUCUCUACAACAUCAGUUGCACAGGUAUGCACAUCCCUUGGAGCACUGCACCAUUAGACAUCUUCCCCAUAGGUACCUCCAGCAAUUAGGUUUCCUGCGUCUAAUCCCACAGCAACAGUUGGUCGUGAAUGUGGUGCUUGUAGUGGCAGUAGCCUCCCUAUGUAUGUCUUCUCUAAAGCGAUAACAACAAUCAUAAAUUAUUAGUAUAUAAGCAGAGUCUGUAAACAACACUAUCGUAAAAUCAGAUCAGUUCCAAUAAAAAUUUUCUUAUCCAGCAAAGUCUACGGUAUUCACUUUGGUGAGUGCAAAAAAGAAGUCAAAUGACACUUUGAAUUCAUGAAAGUGAAUAAGGAAUUGACAAUAUAUUCCAAACUGAUCAGUGAAUGCAGAAAUUAAGCAUAGCAUCUGACAGGAAUCAAUAAAUUUAAGAAACUGAUAGACUAUUUAAUGUAAGUUCAAAGUUUCUGAUACAAUGGAAAAACAUUAACCAAAUUCAAUCCAUUGCUAAGGAUACAAUUGCCACUACUUUACAAAGAAAGCUUUUCAAUCCUUCUCAACAGAAAGAAUCAAACCAACGAUUGUUUGCAGCAUAAAACGUGAUGAAUUUAAGACAAAGCACUUGCAUGAAUUACAAAAACUGGGCAAUUGACCAUUUUCAUUUUGUUAAUGUUCUGCAUCAAAAGCUUAAAUGAAUCAAUAUAUAACACCUCCAAAGCAAGUAAAAUGCAAAGUAUAAAUCAAUAUACAAGUGAAAAGCAUGUUAAAUGAGGAUGGCUAAAUGGGACAAGAUAAAAGUUCAGCUUGCAUUGCUUCGAAAGAAAAUUUUAGAGGACUCAAAACAUCAAGUUAAUGAUUGUGGGCUUAUCUAGCCCUAUAAACCAUUACAAUUAUUCUUCUAUUUUUGAUACGAUGCUAAUCGAGAUAAUUUUGAUGACUGAACUUACUUAGCUUACAUUCAAGAAUUAAUUCAGCAACAAUGCAUAUAGUGAAUUCAUAGUUGACAACCAAUAUCUGAUUUCAUUUCACA
RNAcentral lists this long non-coding RNA (1614 nucleotides) under Musa acuminata (dwarf banana). Its description in RNAcentral is "long non-coding RNA (MACU_LNC001827)". Lineage: Eukaryota; Viridiplantae; Streptophyta; Magnoliopsida; Zingiberales; Musaceae. The record is from RNAcentral.